CUGCUGGGAUAAAAUUUACUUCACUAAUCAAAUUAACAUUGAAUUUUCUCUGCAAAUAAUUUCUAAUACACAUAGUAUUAUAAGUGCAGAAUUAAUGACACACACAUAUGCAGUAUAUAUCUUUUUCAUACUGAAAUACCAAACAUGCAAAGAACAAUUUAUUCAUUUCCUUUAUUCGAAUGGCUUUCAAGUGAGCAAGAAUGACACGUUUCUUCUCAGUUUUGAUAAUUUAAUGAAUCUUACUCACGAGAACGCCUGUUAUGAAACCUACUUGGCCUGCAAUGUUUCAGACCGAUACGCGGAGGCUUUUGUUAUUCUGCCAUCUUUAACAAUUAGUUACAUAACGUCAACACUAGCAAUGGUAGUGAUAUUUGUAAACGGCUUUGUUUUAUUAAUAUUUCUACAAAAGGAGAACCGAACACCAGUUACCAUUUUAUUGUCAGCUUUGGCUAUAUCUGAUAGUAUGACAGCAUUGCUGAUGACCGUUCCAACAUUAAUAGCCUAUCACAAAUAUGGUCAUCACGUUUACAAU
This 532-nucleotide long non-coding RNA is filed under the name Mytilus galloprovincialis (Mediterranean mussel). Lineage: Eukaryota; Metazoa; Mollusca; Bivalvia; Mytilida; Mytilidae. The record is from RNAcentral.